GAUGCACGCGAAAACCUUACCUACGCUUGACAUGUCCGAAAGCCCGAAGAGAUUUGGGUGUGCUCGAAAGAGAAUCGGAACACAGGUGCUGCAUGGCUGUCGUCAGCUCGUGUCGUGAGAUGUUGGGUUAAGUCCCGCAACGAGCGCAACCCUUGUCAUUAGUUGCUACAUUAAGUUGGGCACUCUAAUGAGACUGCCGGUGACAAACCGGAGGAAGGUGGGGAUGACGUCAAGUCCUCAUGGCCCUUAUGCGUAGGGCUUCACACGUCAUACAAUGGUCGGUACAGAGGGUCGCCAACCCGCGAGGGGGAGCCAAUCUCAGAAAGCCGAUCGUAGUCCGGAUCGUAGUCUGCAACUCGACUACGUGAAGUCGGAAUCGCUAGUAAUCGCGGAUCAGCAUGUCGCGGUGAAUACGUUCCCGGGCCUUGUACACACCGCCCGUCACACCAUGGGGGCGGGUUUUACCAGAAGUAGCUAGGCUAACCGCAAGGAGGCCGGUACCAC
Molecule: ribosomal RNA, 504 nt
Filed under: beta proteobacterium BAC320P
Lineage: Bacteria; Pseudomonadati; Pseudomonadota; Betaproteobacteria
Description: bacterial SSU rRNA
Rfam family: Bacterial small subunit ribosomal RNA
Source: RNAcentral